GAUGGACGCUAGCGGCAGGCCUAAUACAUGCAAGUCGGACGGGAUUCAGGAGCUUGCUUCUGAUGAGAGUGGCGCACGGGUGCGUAACACGUAUGUAACCUACCUUUAUCAGGGGGAUAGCCUCUCGAAAGAGAGAUUAAGCCCGCAUAAAAUCACAGCACAGCAUUGUGUAAUGAUCAAAUAUUUAUAGGAUAAAGAUGGGCAUGCGGAACAUUAGCUAGAUGGCGGGGUAACGGCCCACCAUGGCGACGAUGUUUAGGGGAUCUGAGAGGAUGGCCCCCCACACUGGUACUGAGACACGGACCAGACUCCUACGGGAGGCAGCAGUAAGGAAUAUUGAUCAAUGGGCGGAAGCCUGAACCAGCCAUGCCGCGUGCAGGAAGACGGCCCUACGGGUUGUAAACUGCUUUUAUACGGGAAUAAACCCAGAUACGUGUAUCUGGCUGAAUGUACUGUAAGAAUAAGGAUCGGCUAACUCCGUG
RNAcentral lists this ribosomal RNA (482 nucleotides) under uncultured bacterium. RNAcentral describes it as "partial 16S ribosomal RNA". It matches the Rfam family "Bacterial small subunit ribosomal RNA", at positions 28 to 507 of the family's 1533-position model. The record is from RNAcentral.